AUUAAGGUCCUGCCUGCCAGUGAACACUUUAACGGCCGCGGUACCAUAACCGUGCAAAGGUAGCGUAAUCACUUGUCUCCUAAAUAGAGACCUGUAUGAAUGGCCACAUGAGGGCGCAUCUGUCUCCUUGGGCCAAUCAAUGAAACUGAUCUACCAGUACAAAAGCUGAUAUACACCUAUAAGACGAGAAGACCCUGUGGAGCUUUAAAUUUAAACACUAACCCACCCACUCCCUAUGCUUCAGAAAUACUUAUUUUUUAAACAUAGUGUUAAUUUUCAGUUGGGGCGACUACGGAACAAAAAAAAUCUUCCAUGACCCAGGCUCUAUGCCUUCCAAGAUAAACAUAUCGACGAAAAACACCACCGACCCAGUAAAUACUGCUCAUCGAACCAAGUUACCCCAGGGAUAACAGCGCCAUCCCCUUUAAGAGUCCAUAUCGCCAAGGGGGCUUACGACCUCGAUGUUGGAUCAGGACACCCCGGUGGUGCAGCCCCUACCAAAGGUUCGUUUGUUCAACGAUUAAUGUCCUACGUGAUC
This 538-nucleotide ribosomal RNA is filed under the name Gekko kwangsiensis. RNAcentral describes it as "partial large subunit ribosomal RNA". It matches the Rfam family "Bacterial large subunit ribosomal RNA", at positions 1893 to 2605 of the family's 2925-position model. The record is from RNAcentral. Lineage: Eukaryota; Metazoa; Chordata; Lepidosauria; Squamata; Gekkonidae.